CCUACGGGAGGCAGCAGUGGGGGAUAUUGCACAAUGGGGGGAACCCUGAUGCAGCGACGCCGCGUGGGUGAAGAAGCGCCUCGGCGCGUAAAGCCCUGUCAGCAGGGAAGAAAAUGACGGUACCUGAAGAAGAAGCCCCGGCUAACUACGUGCCAGCAGCCGCGGAAAUACGUAGGGGGCAGGCGUUAUCCGGAUUUAUUGGGUUUAAAGGGUGGGUAGGGGGGACAUUAAGUGAGCGGUAAAAUCGAGGGGCUAAACCCCUUUAAGCCGGUGAAACUGGUGGGCUUGAGUGGGCGAGAAGGAAGCGGAAUGUGUGGUGUAGCGGUGAAAUGCAUAGAUAUCACGCAGAAAUCCGAUUGCGAAGGCAGCAUACCGGCGGCCGACUGACGCUGAGGCACGAAAGCGUGGGGAGCGAACAGGAUUAGAUACCCGAGUAGUC
Molecule: ribosomal RNA, 439 nt
Filed under: uncultured bacterium
Lineage: Bacteria
Description: partial 16S ribosomal RNA
Rfam family: Bacterial small subunit ribosomal RNA
Source: RNAcentral